Small nucleolar RNA from Tachyglossus aculeatus (Australian echidna), 138 nucleotides. Lineage: Eukaryota; Metazoa; Chordata; Mammalia; Monotremata; Tachyglossidae. The record is from RefSeq and is a predicted model, not a curated record.
ACCCUCUCGGGGUCGCACCCGGAGAGUUUCCAGUGCUCUACCAGUUUUGACUAUGGGAGGGAGAGUCAAGCAGAGAUAUAUCCAUUACAUUUCCAGCUUGGCCAGGGGCUAGUGAGUGGAAGGCCAUCUGCUACAAGU